UCCCUUUCAGGGUUGCACCUGGAGAAUUUCCAGUACUCUACCAGUCUCCACUACGAAAGGGAGAGUCAAACAGAGGCAUAUCCACUCCAUUCCUAGCUUAGGCAGUGGCUAGCAAGUGGAAGGCAAUCUGUUACAAGU
Molecule: small nucleolar RNA, 138 nt
Organism: Tachyglossus aculeatus (Australian echidna)
Lineage: Eukaryota; Metazoa; Chordata; Mammalia; Monotremata; Tachyglossidae
Source: RefSeq, a predicted model, not a curated record